This 315-nucleotide long non-coding RNA is filed under the name Elaeis guineensis (African oil palm). RNAcentral's name for it is "long non-coding RNA (EGUI_LNC027186)". The record is from RNAcentral. Lineage: Eukaryota; Viridiplantae; Streptophyta; Magnoliopsida; Arecales; Arecaceae.
UGUGUGUGUUAUCUAGGCUGUCUUAAUUAGUUUUGGCUUGGCUAUUGCAUGUUAGGUUUUGCUUGUGGACCACAAACAAGCAAAUUGUUGAGUCAAGUCCACGCUUGUAUUUUCACAGGCUGACUAUUAUCCAAGUGCACCCAUGAAUUAAUUAGCUGAAUUUUAUGCUGUGGCUUGUUUCACAUGUGAACAACUUAUAUGAGACACUAGUCAAAGAGCCAAGUCCGAACUGUUCAACAAUUGCCGAGGAAAUGUGCGGUGCCUUGGGUAGAACUCUGAUGAAUGGGCAUUUAUUUAAGCUCCUAUGGGAAGACC